This 529-nucleotide ribosomal RNA is filed under the name Carpetania elisae. Its description in RNAcentral is "Hormogaster elisae partial 16S ribosomal RNA". It matches the Rfam family "Bacterial large subunit ribosomal RNA", at positions 1857 to 2628 of the family's 2925-position model. The record is from RNAcentral. Lineage: Eukaryota; Metazoa; Annelida; Clitellata; Crassiclitellata; Hormogastridae.
UCCUGGUCAGUGACAUAGUUAAACGGCCGCGGUAUCCUAACCGUGCAAAGGUAGCAUAAUCACUUGCCUAUUACUUGUAGGCUAGAAUGAAAGGAAAAACGAAAUAUAAGCUCUCUCUUUAAGAAAAAAAAAUUUCUAACUGAAAAGUGUUAGAUAUAAUCGAAGGACAAGAAGAGCUUUAUCUAAAAAAGAAAUUAUUUAUAAGAUUCGGUUGGGGCGACCAAGAAUACUUUCAAUCAUCCUUCAUCAACAGAUUUAUAGAUCUCAAUUUAGACGACAGAAAAUAAGCUACCUUAGAGAUAACAGGCUAAUUCUGCUAGAGAAUCCUUAGCUAAAGUAGAGAUUGGCACUUCAAUGUUGGCUUAGGGAAACUAUAUGACGCAAAAUUCAAAUAAAGAUGGUCUGUUCAACCAAUAAAUCCCUACAUGAGCUGAGUUGAGACCACGAUCCUAGCCACAGUACAAAAGGACCUGGAUAAGGGCAAUUCAGCUAACGAAUUAAUGCAUACAUUCAUAAUACUACAUACUAU